UACACAACGAGUUUAGUUUAGAAAUUAUUUGGAUUUUUACUUUUUUUAUUCCUCAUAAAAUUUGUAAACCUUUUCUUUACCCGUUUUGUUAUUGAGUUGUCUGAGCUUUUAAUUAUGUGAAACUUUGUAGUUGUUGCCUCUAACGGACUGUCGAGCAUUGAAAGUUGCGUUCGUUGCAGCAAACAAAGUAUAGAAAGUUGCCACACACCGAAUAUAUAUGUAGUAAAUAUUCGUAUUUGUAUAAAGUUCGCUUGGCUGUUGAUUACCUGUCUUGGUGCAGCAUUUUGUGGCAAGUAUAAAAUGAUAAAUGCAUUUUCAUUGCAUAACGACGAGCGCUUUGGAAUUUAUGCGGCUGAACAAAAUGUCAGAGCAAUUAGCUAGGCACUCAGUAAGUGUUCAGGGCUUUUGUCUACGCGUGUGUGUGAGUCUGCGCUGACCACAAGACGGCAAGUUGCUGAACGUAGACGAGGGACGGCAACGACACCUGGCGAUUAAUUAAAAUAACUGUUUAUCAACACGAAUUAAUCAUGUUUAAACAUGCUCCAAGCUCGUGAGACCGCAUUCAAAAGUGGCGUGCAACCGCCGUUUGGGUCAUGUUAGCAGCGAACCCUUGACGGAUGCCACGCGGGGCAAACAAACAAGAAACCUGAAACACACGCAUGUGUUCCAGAAACUAAUAACCGAAGCUUAAAUGGGCAAAGUUUGUCCAACGAAUUACAGAACCAACAAGCUUUGCAACGUUCACAGAAUUUGAGAAUGAAGAGCGGCAAUGUUUUAAACUUAAAUUAAAAUUAAUAAAGCAGAAAAUUGUUCUGUAAUGUAAUCUGAUAAAAACAAUGUUUCGAAAACUGUGAAAAUUUGUCGUACUGAUAUAUAUUUCUUAAAUGA
Molecule: long non-coding RNA, 888 nt
Organism: Drosophila sulfurigaster albostrigata
Lineage: Eukaryota; Metazoa; Arthropoda; Insecta; Diptera; Drosophilidae
Exons: 3
Source: RefSeq, a predicted model, not a curated record